CUAGCAACAAGCAUCAACACUCUGGCAUCAACUGUUGCUGAUGCAAAACACACGUUUUGCGAAACUGUUUGAGGCCAAAAACAUUAGCUAAAGUGACGCGUUAGCAGACCUGUGUUUGACCAAGGAAGAUGUCUGCCUUUCUCAAACACUCACCUUCGGCUUCCACGUGGGUUUGGCAAUAUCUUGGAGGGGUUGGUUCGAGAGGUCCUGCGAGACCAGCCCAAGAACAUCCCCACAUUUGCUGCAUUUUACUUCCCCGCUCUUCUCAAAGAAAGAGAAGAGAGUGGCUUGGACCGUGCAGAGUGGUGUGCCAGGCUUGAGGACAGAUUCUACGAUGUCAACUUUCUUUCUUUCUAAAUAGUCAUUCUGUAUCAAACGAGAAAAGUACAUUUCCUGAAGAAAAUGUGGUCGUGCUUGUUUUAAAGUAUUUGUGGUUUUGAAAUAAGUACUAGUAGUGGCAGUGACUGAUUAUAGUUGAAGGGGGAAAAAGUAGGUAGAUGUAAAAAAAUAUAUAUAUAUAUAUAUAAAAAAAAACAUUUUUUAAAAGAUUGAUUAUUUGGCUGAUUGAUAAAUGUAUUGGAUAGGAUAGCUUGAACAUGUAAAAGUUGGAUUGGUACCUCUAGCUUGAAUGGUUCAAGAGUUACUGUUGGUGUGUUCUUAUGCUAAUUUGUAUAGUCGUAGUUGAUCAACGUUUUUAAGAAUUUGAAGUUAGGAUAGCCUGAACAUGAGAACGUUGGUUUUGGUGCCUUUAGCUUGAACGGUUCAACAGUUACUGUUUCUGAGUUAUUUCAUACUAAUUAUGAAAAUGUUUAUAGAAAUAGUUGACAAUGAUUUAAAAUAAUUUGAAGUUAGAAUAGCCUGAACAUGUGCAUUGGUGUCUCUAGCUUGAACAGUUACAAUUGGUACGUUAAUUUAUGCUAAUGUUUGCACAUUUAUAUGAUUUUAGAUUAUUAACGUUUUUAAGAAUUGGAAGUUAGGAUAGCCCAAACGUGAUAGUUGGUUUAGUUUCUCUAGCUUGAACGGUUCAACAGUUUCUGUUGGUGAGUUAUUUUAUGCUAAUUAUAGAAAUGUAAAUAGUUAUAAUUGAUACAAGUUUUUAAGAACUGAAAGUUAGGAUCGCCUGAACAUGUGAUAGUUGGUUUGGUGUCUAGCUUGAACGGUUCAAGAGUUUAUGUUGGUUAUUUUAUACUAAUGUAUGCCAAUUUAUGUGCUUAUAGUCAAUAAAGAAUUUGAAAUGAG
Molecule: long non-coding RNA, 1239 nt
Organism: Salvelinus fontinalis (brook trout)
Lineage: Eukaryota; Metazoa; Chordata; Actinopteri; Salmoniformes; Salmonidae
Exons: 3
Source: RefSeq, a predicted model, not a curated record